Molecule: ribosomal RNA, 253 nt
Filed under: uncultured bacterium
Lineage: Bacteria
Description: partial 16S ribosomal RNA
Rfam family: Bacterial small subunit ribosomal RNA
Source: RNAcentral
GACAGAGGUGCCGAGCGUUAGGCGGAAUCACUGGGCUUAAAGCGUGUGUAGGCGGACCGUUAAGUACCUUGUGAAAUCCCACGGCUCACCCGUGGAACGGCUGGGUAGACUGGCGGUCUUGGGCCACCUAGGGGCAGAUGGAACAGACGGUGGAGCGGUGAAAUGCGUAGAUAUCGUCUGGAACGCCAAAGGUGAAAACAGUCUGCUGGGGGUGUGCCGACGCUGAGACACGAAAGCCAGGGGAGCGAACGGG